This is a non-coding RNA of Misgurnus anguillicaudatus (oriental weatherfish), 778 nucleotides long. The record is from RefSeq and is a predicted model, not a curated record. NCBI's taxonomy places the organism in Eukaryota, Metazoa, Chordata, Actinopteri, Cypriniformes, Cobitidae.
AAACACAAACACUCAGCAAAUGAGGGGCUGGCACCGAUCGCACCAGUGCCUGAUGGGAAACGCAUACCUGUCCAGUUCUGUCUCUGCACUGCUUUAACCAAACCAGGACUGAGAGAUUAAACGGACAGCACAGAUGCCAGUACCGACAUGCAUGCUACGAAUAGUUGGGGUUGAUGAUGAUGGCUGCUGACGGAUGUGACAUCGCAUGACAGAGACUACGAAAAGUUGACGGAUGGAUUACAACUCCUGCAAUAUUCCAUUCAUAAACGCACGUGUGUAAAUUCACUCGCCUUAAGAGUCGAGACAGAAGGAACUUAGCAGAUAGAUAGAAAGAAAGAUAGAUAGAGAGAACAGGAGUGAUGGAUGGGCAAAGCGAGGGACAAAAAGAAAAAGGGAGCACAGACGAGACCUGCAGAAAAUAAACAGGGUGUCUUGUUUCAAAGGCAGGGGACACACAGGCAUUCCAUUGUUCGAGCCAAUUAUCAGAGGCAAAUAAUAACAGCAGAUGGAUCGAGCGAGGAGCGGAGAGCUGCAGAACAGAUGAUGAAAUGUGAGAGAGGAGGAGGAGGAGGGGUCAAACUACCAUGGUCCUAAAGCCCAACACACCAGAUGUGGACAGUGCACAAACUCUAUCACUGGCCUUGACUGCUGCUACGACCCCGCCGCACUGACAUGAGAGGAUGAUCUGGAGCUAAAACGGUCUCGUAGAAAUGUUGAGAAUAUUAUGAUUAAGAAGACGAAGAAAAAGGUGAAGAAGAAGAAAAAAGACAGAAGAAGA